Molecule: ribosomal RNA, 404 nt
Filed under: uncultured prokaryote
Description: bacterial SSU rRNA
Rfam family: Bacterial small subunit ribosomal RNA
Source: RNAcentral
UGAGGAAUCUUCCACAAUGGGGGCAACCCUGAUGGAGCAACGCCGCGUGCAGGAUGAAGGCCUUCGGGUUGUAAACUGCUUUUAUAAGCGAGAAAUAUGAUGGUAACUUAUGAAUAAGGAUCGGCUAACUACGUGCCAGCAGCCGCGGUCAUACGUAGGAUCCGAGCGUUAUCCGGAGUGACUGGGCGUAAAGAGCUGCGUAGGCGGUUAGUUAAGCGAAUAGUGAAAUCUGGUGGCUCAACCAUACAGACUAUUAUUCGAACUGGCUAACUCGAGAGUAGCAGAGGUACCUGGAAUUUCGUGUGUAGGAGUGAAAUCCGUAGAUAUACGAAAGAACACCAAUGGCGUAGGCAGGGUACUGGGCUAUUUCUGACGCUAAGGCACGAAAGCGUGGGGAGCGAACC